Molecule: ribosomal RNA, 586 nt
Filed under: uncultured bacterium
Lineage: Bacteria
Description: bacterial SSU rRNA
Rfam family: Bacterial small subunit ribosomal RNA
Source: RNAcentral
GAGUUUGAUCCUGGCUCAGAUUGAACGCUGGCGGCAGGCCUAACACAUGCAAGUCGAGCGGAUGAGGGGUGCUUGCACCCCAAUUCAGCGGCGGACGGGUGAGUAAUGCCUAGGAAUCUGCCCGAUAGUGGGGGACAACGUUUCGAAAGGAACGCUAAUACCGCAUACGUCCUACGGGAGAAAGUGGGGGCUCUUCGGACCUCACGCUAUCGGAUGAGCCUAGGUCGGAUUAGCUAGUUGGUGGGGUAAAGGCCCACCAAGGCGACGAUCCGUAACUGGUCUGAGAGGAUGAUCAGUCACACUGGAACUGAGACACGGUCCAGACUCCUACGGGAGGCAGCAGUGGGGAAUAUUGGACAAUGGGGGAAACCCUGAUGCAGCAACGCCGCGUGAGUGAUGACGGUCUUCGGGUUGUAAAACUCUGUCUUCAGGGACGAUAAUGACGGUACCUGAGGAGGAAGCCACGGCUAACUACGUGCCAGCAGCCGCGGUAAUACGUAGGUGGCAAGCGUUGUCCGGAUUUACUGGGCGUAAAGGGAGCGUAGGUGGAUAUUUAAGUGGGAUGUGAAAUACUCGGGCUUAACCU